GAUGAACGCUAGCGGCAGGCCUAAUACAUGCAAGUCGGACGGGAUCCAUUGAUAUCUUGCUAUCAAUGGUGAGAGUGGCGCACGGGUGCGUAACGCGUGAGCAACCUGCCUCCAUCAGGGGGAUAGCCUCUCGAAAGAGAGAUUAACACCGCAUAAUAUCAACAGUUCGCAUGUUCAGUUGAUUAAAUAUUUAUAGGAUGGAGAUGGGCUCGCGUGACCUUAGCUGGUUGGUAGGGUAACUGCUUACCAAGGCGACGAUGUCUAGGGGCUCUGAGAGGAGAAUCCCCCACACUGGUACUGAGAAACGGACCAGACAACUACGGGAGGCAGCAGUAAGGAAUAGUGGUCAAUGGGCGGAAGACUGAACAAGACAUGCCGCGUGCAGGAUGACUGCCCUAUGGGUUGUAAACUGCUUUUGUACAGGAAUAAACCUAAAUACGAGUAUUUAGCUGAAUGUACUGGAAGAAUAAGGAUCGGCUAACUCCGUGC
RNAcentral lists this ribosomal RNA (489 nucleotides) under uncultured bacterium. RNAcentral describes it as "partial 16S ribosomal RNA". It matches the Rfam family "Bacterial small subunit ribosomal RNA", at positions 28 to 508 of the family's 1533-position model. The record is from RNAcentral.